Molecule: non-coding RNA, 940 nt
Filed under: Drosophila willistoni
Lineage: Eukaryota; Metazoa; Arthropoda; Insecta; Diptera; Drosophilidae
Description: Eukaryotic small subunit ribosomal RNA
Rfam family: Eukaryotic small subunit ribosomal RNA
Source: Rfam by way of RNAcentral
UUCCUGGGUGCUGUUGAGUUCCUAGUCUCUAGGUUCUUUCCAGUAGCUAAUUCGAGCGGCGAAGCAACUCUUGGGGUUACCAGCCCCUUGAGCCAAGUAACGUUGGUCAAGAUAUGAAUACUGUGCCUCGGAUAAACAACACAACAACAACUUCAGCGACUUCCUGUCCUGAUGCAAUUAAAACACGGACCUUCUGGGACGUGUGCUUUUAUUAGACUAAAACCAAGCGAUCAAUUGAUCGUUAUAUUGGUUGAACUCUAGAUAACAUGCAGAUCAUAUGGUCUUGUACCGACGACAGAUCUUUCAAAUGUCUGCCCUAUCAACUUUUGAUGGUAGUAUCUAGGACUACCAUGGUUGCAACGGGUAACGGGGAAUCAGGGUUCGAUUCCGGAGAGGGAGCCUGAGAAACGGCUACCACAUCUAAGGAAGGCAGCAGGCGCGUAAAUUACCCACUCCCAGCUCGGGGAGGUAGUGACGAAAAAUAACAAUACAGAACUCAUAUCCGAGGCCCUGUAAUUGGAAUGAAUACUUUUAAUCCUUUAACAAGGACCAAUUGGAGGGCAAGUCUGGUGCCAGCAGCCGCGGUAAUUCCAGCUCCAAUAGCGUAUAUUAAAGUUGUUGCGGUUAAAACGUUCGUAGUUGAACUUCUGCUUCAUACGGGUAGUACAACAUACAUUUGUAGUUAGUACUAUACCUUUAUGUAUGUAAGCGUAUUAUCGGUGGAGUUCUUAUAUGUAAUUAAGUACUUGUACUUUUUUAUAUAUUCCUCCUAUUUAAAAACCUACAUUAGUGCUCUUAAUCGAGUGUUUUUGUGGGCCGGUACAAUUACUUUGAACGAUUUAGAGUGCUUAAAGCAGGCUUCAAAUGCCUGAAUAUUCUGUGCAUGGGAUAAUGAAAUAAGACCUCUGUUCUGCUUUCAUUGGUUUUCAGAUCAAGAGGU